CAGUGGAGCAUGUGGUUUUAAUUCGAAAGCAACGCGCAGAACCUUACCAGGGCUAGAAAAACUGAGAAUCCUGACGAAACUCGGGAGUGCUCGCAAGAGAACUCAGGUCCAGGUGUUGCAUGGCUGUCGUCAGCUCAGUGUCGUGAGAUGUUGGGUUAAGUCCCGCAACGAGCGCAACCCUUAUCCUUAGUUGCCAUCAUUUGGUUGGGCACUCAAAGGAGACUGCCGGGGUCAACCCGGAGGAAGGUGGGGAUGACGUCAAGUCCUCAUGGCCCUUAUGUCCUGGGCUACACACGUGCUACAAUGGUUGGUACAAAGCGCUGCGAAGCCGCGAGGUGGAGCGAAUCGCAAAAAGCCAGCCUCAGUACGGAUUGCACUCUGCAACUCGAGUGCAUGAAGUCGGAAUUGCUAGUAAUCGCUGAUCAGCAGGCAGCGGUGAAUACGUUCCCGGGCCUUGUACACACCGCCCGUCACACCAUGGGAGUCGAGUGCUCCAGAAGUGGCCGCGCUAACCCGCAAGGGAGGCAGGUCCCCAAGGAGUGUUUGGUAACUGGGGUG
RNAcentral lists this ribosomal RNA (558 nucleotides) under uncultured bacterium. RNAcentral's name for it is "bacterial SSU rRNA". It matches the Rfam family "Bacterial small subunit ribosomal RNA", at positions 930 to 1482 of the family's 1533-position model. The record is from RNAcentral.